GAGGAAGACGCAGUGAACUGAAACAUCUAAGUAGCUGCAGGAAGAGAAAGCAAAAGCGAUUGCCUUAGUAGCGGCGAGCGAAACGGCAGAAGGGCAAACCGAAGAGUUUACUCUUCGGGGUUGUAGGACUGCAAUGUGGACUCAAAGAUUAUAGAAGAAUGAUUUGGGAAGAUCAGCCAAAGAGAGUAAUAGCCUCGUAUUUAAAAUAGUCUUUGUACUUAGCAGUAUCCUGAGUACGGCGGGACACGUGAAAUCCCGUCGGAAUCUGGGAGGACCAUCUCCCAACCCUAAAUACUCCCUAGUGACCGAUAGUGAACCAGUACCGUGAGGGAAAGGUGAAAAGCACCCCGGGAGGGGAGUGAAAUAGAACCUGAAACCGUGUGCCUACAACAAGUUCGAGCCCGUUAAUGGGUGAGAGCGUGCCUUUUGUAGAAUGAACCGGCGAGUUACGUUAUGAUGCGAGGUUAAGUUGAAGAGACGGAGCCGUAGGGAAACCGAGUCUGAAUAGGGCGCCUUAGUAUCAUGACGUAGACCCGAAACCAUGUGACCUACCCAUGAGCAGGUUGAAGGUGCGGUAAGACGCACUGGAGGACCGAACCAGGGCACGUUGAAAAGUGCUUGGAUGACUUGUGGGUAGCGGAGAAAUUCCAAACGAACUUGGAGAUAGCUGGUUCUCUCCGAAAUAGCUUUAGGGCUAGCGUCGACAUUAGAGAUUCUUGGAGGUAGAGCACUGUUUGGGUGAGGGGUCCAUCCCGGAUUACCAAUCUCAGAUAAACUCCGAAUGCCAAUGAAUUAUGGUCGGCAGUCAGACUGCGAGUGCUAAGAUCCGUAGUCGAAAGGGAAACAGCCCAGACCACCAGCUAAGGUCCCAAAAUAAUUGUUAAGUGGAAAAGGAUGUGGGGUUGCACAGACAACUAGGAUGUUAGCUUAGAAGCAGCUAUUCAUUCAAAGAGUGCGUAAUAGCUCACUAGUCGAGUGACCCUGCGCCGAAAAUGUACCGGGGCUAAAACAAUUUACCGAAGCUGUGGAUACCUUUAUAGGUAUGGUAGGAGAGCGUUCUAUGUGUGAUGAAGGUAUACCGUGAGGAGUGCUGGAACGCAUAGAAGUGAGAAUGCCGGUAUGAGUAGCGAAAGACAGGUGAGAAUCCUGUCCACCGUAAGACUAAGGUUUCCAGGGGAAGGCUCGUCCGCCCUGGGUUAGUCGGGACCUAAGGAGAGACCGAAAGGUGUAUCCGAUGGACAACAGGUUGAUAUUCCUGUACUAGAGUAUGUAGUGAUGGAGGGACGCAGUAGGCUAACUAAAGCAGACGAUUGGAAGAGUCUGUCUAAGCAGUGAGGUGUGAAUUGAGUCAAAUGCUUAAUUCUAUAACAUUGAGCUGUGAUGGGGAGCGAAGUUUAGUAGCGAAGUUAGUGACGUCACACUGCCAAGAAAAGCUUCUAGCGUUUAAACAUACUCUACCCGUACCGCAAACCGACACAGGUAGUCGAGGCGAGUAGCCUCAGGUGAGCGAGAGAACUCUCGUUAAGGAACUCGGCAAAAUGACCCCGUAACUUCGGGAGAAGGGGUGCUGACUUAAAGUCAGCCGCAGUGAAUAGGCCCAAGCAACUGUUUAUCAAAAACACAGCUCUCUGCUAAAUCGUAAGAUGAUGUAUAGGGGGUGACGCCUGCCCGGUGCUGGAAGGUUAAGAGGAGUGCUUAGCGUAAGCGAAGGUAUGAAUUGAAGCCCCAGUAAACGGCGGCCGUAACUAUAACGGUCCUAAGGUAGCGAAAUUCCUUGUCGGGUAAGUUCCGACCCGCACGAAAGGCGUAAUGAUUUGGGCACUGUCUCAACGAGAGACUCGGUGAAAUUUUAGUACCUGUGAAGAUGCAGGUUACCCGCGACAGGACGGAAAGACCCCAUGGAGCUUUACUGCAGUUUGAUAUUGAGUGUCUGUACCACAUGUACAGGAUAGGUAGGAGUCUAAGAGAUCGGGACGCCAGUUUCGAAGGAGACGCUGUUGGGAUACUACCCUUGUGUUAUGGCCACUCUAACCCAGAUAGGUGAUCCCUAUCGGAGACAGUGUCUGACGGGCAGUUUGACUGGGGCGGUCGCCUCCUAAAAGGUAACGGAGGCGCCCAAAGGUUCCCUCAGAAUGGUUGGAAAUCAUUCGCAGAGUGUAAAGGUAUAAGGGAGCUUGACUGCGAGAGCUACAACUCGAGCAGGGACGAAAGUCGGGCUUAGUGAUCCGGUGGUUCCGUAUGGAAGGGCCAUCGCUCAACGGAUAAAAGCUACCCUGGGGAUAACAGGCUUAUCUCCCCCAAGAGUUCACAUCGACGGGGAGGUUUGGCACCUCGAUGUCGGCUCGUCGCAUCCUGGGGCUGUAGUCGGUCCCAAGGGUUGGGCUGUUCGCCCAUUAAAGCGGCACGCGAGCUGGGUUCAGAACGUCGUGAGACAGUUCGGUCCCUAUCCGUCGCGGGCGUAGGAAAUUUGAGAGGAUCUGCUCCUAGUACGAGAGGACCAGAGUGGACUUACCGCUGGUGUACCAGUUGUCUUGCCAAAGGCAUCGCUGGGUAGCUAUGUAGGGAAGGGAUAAACGCUGAAAGCAUCUAAGUGUGAAACCCACCUCAAGAUGAGAUUUCCCAUGAUUAUAUAUCAGUAAGAGCCCUGAGAGAUGAUCAGGUAGAUAGGUUAGAAGUGGAAGUGUGGCGACACAUGUAGCGGACUAAUACUAAUAGCUCGAGGACUUAUCCAA
Molecule: ribosomal RNA, 2732 nt
Filed under: Streptococcus pneumoniae
Lineage: Bacteria; Bacillati; Bacillota; Bacilli; Lactobacillales; Streptococcaceae
Description: partial 23S ribosomal RNA
Rfam family: Bacterial large subunit ribosomal RNA
Source: RNAcentral